Molecule: ribosomal RNA, 334 nt
Filed under: uncultured bacterium
Lineage: Bacteria
Description: bacterial SSU rRNA
Rfam family: Bacterial small subunit ribosomal RNA
Source: RNAcentral
GACGAACGCUGGCGGCGCGCCUAACACAUGCAAGUCGAACGGAGUGUUUUCACGGAAGUUUUCGGAUGGAAGUGGUUACACUUAGUGGCGGACGGGUGAGUAACACGUGAGCAACCUGCCUUUCAGAGGGGGACAACAGCUGGAAACGGUUGCUAAUACCCCAUAAGCCGAGAGGUAAAAGGAGUAAUCCGCUGAGGGAGGGGCUCAUGUCCUAUCAGCUAGUUGGUAAGGUAACGGCUUACCAAGGCGAAGACGGUAGCCGGCCUGAGAGGGCGAUCGGCCACACUGGAACUGAGAUACGGUCCAGACUCCUACGGGAGCAGCAGUGGGAAUA